GUGGGGAAUAUUGGACAAUGGGCGAAAGCCUGAUCCAGCCAUGCCGCGUGUGUGAAGAAGGUCUUCGGAUUGUAUAGCACUUUAAGUUGGGAGGAAGGGCAGUAAAUUAAUACCUUGUUGUUUUGAUGUUACCGACAGAAUAAGCACCGGCUAACUUCGUGCCAGCAGCCGCGGUAAUACGAAGGGUGCAAGCGUUAAUCGGAAUUACUGGGCGUAAAGCGCGCGUAGGUGGUUCAGUAAGUUGGAAGUGAAAUCCCCGGGCUCAACCUGGGAACUGCUUUCAAAACUGCUGAGCUAGAGUACGGUAGAGGGUGGUGGAAUUUCCUGUGUAGCGGUGAAAUGCGUAGAUAUAGGAAGGAACACCAGUGGCGAAGGCGACUACCUGGACUGAUACUGACACUGAGGUGCGAAAGCGUGGGGAGCAAACAGGAUUAGAAACCCCAGUAGUCC
Molecule: ribosomal RNA, 450 nt
Filed under: uncultured bacterium
Lineage: Bacteria
Description: partial 16S ribosomal RNA
Rfam family: Bacterial small subunit ribosomal RNA
Source: RNAcentral